RNAcentral lists this ribosomal RNA (1368 nucleotides) under uncultured bacterium. RNAcentral's name for it is "bacterial SSU rRNA". It matches the Rfam family "Bacterial small subunit ribosomal RNA", at positions 28 to 1381 of the family's 1533-position model. The record is from RNAcentral.
GAUGAACGCUAGCGACAGGCCUAACACAUGCAAGUCGAGGGGCAUCGGGGCGAGGAGCAAUCCUUGCCGCCGGCGACCGGCGCACGGGUGAGUAACGCGUAUGCGACCUGCCCGUUGCAGGGGGAUAAUCGGGAGAAAUCCCGUCUAAUACCGCGUAAUGCCGCGGGGCUGCAUGGCCCUGCGGCCAAAGGGAGCGAUUCCGGCAACGGAUGGGCAUGCGUGACAUUAGCUAGUUGGCGGGGCAACGGCCCACCAAGGCGACGAUGUCUAGGGGUUCUGAGAGGAAGGUCCCCCACACUGGUACUGAGACACGGACCAGACUCCUACGGGAGGCAGCAGUGAGGAAUAUUGGUCAAUGGGCGCGAGCCUGAACCAGCCAAGUCGCGUGAGGGAUGACGGCCCUACGGGUUGUAAACCUCUUUUGUCGGGGAGCAAAUUCCGUUACGUGUAACGGAGUCGAGAGUACCCGAAGAAAAAGCAUCGGCUAACUCCGUGCCAGCAGCCGCGGUAAUACGGAGGAUGCGAGCGUUAUCCGGAUUUAUUGGGUUUAAAGGGUGCGUAGGCGGACUGUCAAGUCAGCGGUAAAAUACGGGGGCUCAACCUCCGCCCGCCGUUGAAACUGACGGUCUUGAGUGGGCGAGAAGUAUGCGGAAUGCGUGGUGUAGCGGUGAAAUGCAUAGAUAUCACGCAGAACUCCGAUUGCGAAGGCAGCAUACCGGCGCCCAACUGACGCUGAAGCACGAAAGCGUGGGUAUCGAACAGGAUUAGAUACCCUGGUAGUCCACGCAGUAAACGAUGAAUACUAGCUGUCCGGGGCGAAUGAGCCCUGGGUGGCACAGCGAAAGCGUUAAGUAUUCCACCUGGGGAGUACGCCGGCAACGGUGAAACUCAAAGGAAUUGACGGGGGCCCGCACAAGCGGAGGAACAUGUGGUUUAAUUCGAUGAUACGCGAGGAACCUUACCCGGGCUCAAACGACACAGGAACGUACCUGAAAGGGUUCGGCUCUACGGAGCCUGUGUCGAGGUGCUGCAUGGUUGUCGUCAGCUCGUGCCGUGAGGUGUCGGCUUAAGUGCCAUAACGAGCGCAACCCCCAUCGACAGUUGCUAACAGGUCAGGCCGAGGACUCUGUCGAGACUGCCGGCGCAAGCUGCGAGGAAGGCGGGGAUGACGUCAAAUCAGCACGGCCCUUACGUCCGGGGCGACACACGUGUUACAAUGGCAGGUACAGCGGGAAGCCACCUGGCGACAGGGAGCGGAACCCGAAAGCCUGUCUCAGUUCGGAUUGGAGUCUGCAACCCGACUCCAUGAAGCUGGAUUCGCUAGUAAUCGCGCAUCAGCCACGGCGCGGUGAAUACGUUCCCGGGCCU